GCGGGAGUCGGUCAAUGGCAGGCCGCUCCCUCGCCAGGGGAGAGAUCGCGGUUCGAUUCCGCGUUCCCGCA
RNAcentral lists this transfer RNA (71 nucleotides) under Methanobacteriota archaeon. RNAcentral's name for it is "Euryarchaeota archaeon tRNA-Gly". It matches the Rfam family "tRNA". Rfam says of the family: Transfer RNA (tRNA) molecules are approximately 80 nucleotides in length. Their secondary structure includes four short double-helical elements and three loops (D, anti-codon, and T loops). The record is from RNAcentral. Lineage: Archaea; Methanobacteriati; Methanobacteriota.